GAUGAACGCUGGCGGCGUGCCUAAUACAUGCAAGUCGAGCGAACAGACGAGGAGCUUGCUCCUUUGACGUUAGCGGCGGACGGGUGAGUAACACGUAGGUAACCUACCUAUAAGACUGGGGUAACUUCGGGAAACCGGAGCUAAUACCGGAUAAUAUUUCGAACCGCAUGGUUCGAUAGUGAAAGAUGGCUUUACUAUCACUUAUAGAUGGACCUGCGCCGUAUUAGCUAGUUGGUAAGGUAACGGCUUACCAAGGCAACGAUCCGUAGCCGACCUGAGAGGGUGAUCGGCCACACUGGAACUGAGACACGGUCCAGACUCCUACGGGGGGCAGCAGUAGGGAAUCUUCCGCAAGGGGCGAAAGCCUGACGGAGCAAAGUCGCGUGAGUGAUGAAGGUCUUCGGAUCGUAAAACGCUGUUAUUAGGGAAGAACAAACGUGUAAGUAACUGUGCACGUCUUGACGGUACCUAAUCAGAAAGCCACGGCUAACUACGUG
This 497-nucleotide ribosomal RNA is filed under the name uncultured bacterium. RNAcentral's name for it is "partial 16S ribosomal RNA". It matches the Rfam family "Bacterial small subunit ribosomal RNA", at positions 28 to 507 of the family's 1533-position model. The record is from RNAcentral.